RNAcentral lists this ribosomal RNA (301 nucleotides) under uncultured bacterium. RNAcentral describes it as "partial 16S ribosomal RNA". It matches the Rfam family "Bacterial small subunit ribosomal RNA", at positions 509 to 807 of the family's 1533-position model. The record is from RNAcentral.
CAGUAGCCGCGGUAAUGCGUAGGUGGCAAGCGUUGUCCGGAAUUAUUGGGCGUAAAGGGCUCGCAGGCGGUUUCUUAAGUCUGAUGUGAAAGCCCCCGGCUCAACCGGGGAGGGUCAUUGGAAACUGGGAAACUUGAGUGCAGAAGAGGAGAGUGGAAUUCCACGUGUAGCGGUGAAAUGCGUAGAGAUGUGGAGGAACACCAGUGGCGAAGGCGGCUCACUGGCCCGGUACUGACGCUGAGGCGCGAAAGCGUGGGGAGCAAACAGGAUUAGAUACCCCUGUAGUCCCUGUCUCUUAUAC